GCACUGCUGAAGAGUUCCAAACAGGACAGAACAGCUGUCCAGUGC
Molecule: non-coding RNA, 45 nt
Filed under: Echinostoma caproni
Lineage: Eukaryota; Metazoa; Platyhelminthes; Trematoda; Plagiorchiida; Echinostomatidae
Source: RNAcentral